Molecule: ribosomal RNA, 493 nt
Filed under: uncultured bacterium
Lineage: Bacteria
Description: partial 16S ribosomal RNA
Rfam family: Bacterial small subunit ribosomal RNA
Source: RNAcentral
GACGAACGCUGGCGGUGUGCUUAACACAUGCAAGUGGUGCGACGAACCAGAGCUUGCUCUGGGGCAAAGCCGCGAACGGGUGAGUAACACGUGGGUAAUCUACCCCGAUGACCGGGACAACCCGAGGAAACUCGGGCUAAUACCGGAUGUGGUGCGGAGACAUAAGUCUCUUCACUAAAGGUAGCUUCGGCUUCCGCAUUGGGAGGGGCCCGCGGCCCACUAGCUUGUUGGUGGGGUCAAGGCCUACCAAGGCAACGAUGGGUAGCUGGUCUGAGAGGACGAUCAGCCACACUGGGACUGAGACACGGCCCAGACUCCUACGGGAGGCAGCAGUGGGGAAUCUUGCGCAAUGCGCGAAAGCGUGACGCAGCAACACCGCGUGAGGGAAGAAGGCCUUAGGGUUGUAAACCUCUUUCAGAUGGGACGAAGGUUCUCCGGUGAAUAGCCGAGAGGAUUGACGGUACCGUCAGAAGAAGCUCCGGCUAACUACGUG